CUUUCUGUGCAGUCAGCUAAAAGCAGUGGUCUGUCCCACUGGCUUUGCAUUGUAGCUAUUUGUUGCCAGUCAUCUUUGCAGCCAUCUUUGAGAUCUUGUUGGCCAUUCUUCUUCCGUGUGUUUCUGGCAUUCUUUCAGGGUUUUCUUCCCUGUGUUGUCAUGAACUCAGGUCUUUCUUGCUGGCCUCUUCUGCAUCAAUAUUCCUGACUUUGCCAGCCCCUUUCCAUCACGGGUGGUGGCGUUUAACUCUCUUCUGGGCUCGUCCAGAGCAUCGGAGCCACAUGGUUGUGGCCUCAUAGGGCUUUCUGGCUGGCAGUGUCUUAUGUGUAGGAAUAGUUUUUUUUGUGUAGGGUUUUCCUUUGUGUCUGUGUCUGAUAUUUGUGUGUCUGUCUGUUUGGUGCUGGAGCUGCCUUGCUUGUGGGUUUUAGCUMUGGUAGUGUGCAGAGGAGAGUAGUGAUGGAAUGGUGAUUAGUCAGCAUCUGUGUGCUCCACUUUAUGUUGUGUGUGUGUUUUGUUAUAUAUUUUUUUUUGUAGAUGUGGCACAGCAGUUGGAGUGCCUGAGGGAGAUGGAGGAAGAAAGGGUCAUGCCCUAGGAAGGUGUGGAGGAAUGUGGAGAGUGGGUCGUUUGCGUGUGGGAGGAGCACGGCAAGGUGAGUGUCGGUCUGAGAGCGGUAGCAGAGCCUAGCACAGGGCUGUUGUCUCAUUGGUGCUGUCCCCAUUGCCCACUGCUGUUCUGGUUUUACAGGUGCAUGACAGGCCUCGGCGUGGCAGCCGGUUGCAUGGCAGUUGGGAUGGGCGAGCAGAGCAGGUGAAGGUGUGGGAGCAAAUGCUUGAUGUGGGUGGGCUGUGGUUUUGCAGGUGUGACCCGAGCGCCUGCUUUCUGUUUGUGUUUGCAAGUUUUGCAGGAAGUUGUGGAGAGGCAAAGUUGAGUGUUGACAAGAGCCUGAGCAGGUCCUGUGUGGGCCUUUCCCAGGCAUGGCUGAGGAUGUCAGGUGAGCAGAUUCCUGAUGGGUGUUGCAGGGUUGGUGAGUAUUGCCUGGCAGAAGAGUCAUUUUGUUUUGCUUUUUCCAGGUGCUGCGGGUGUCCCCCCAAGCACAAUUUUGGAGUUUGGGAUUGGUGUGGUGCAGGUGAGCAGAGCGUCCAUGGCGCUUUGGUGGUGGGCGCUCUUGCGGACGAGGCUGGAGCUGACUGGCCUGGGGGUGACUGCUUGUGCUCUGUUUUGGUAGGUGAUGAAGGUGAAUGUGGUGACCAGAGGAAGAUUAGGGAGGAUGCGGCUGCCAUUGAGGAUGCCUCUUGAAGACAGAUGGUGACCCAAAGCACUGUAGAAGCUAAGUUGAGAGGCCAGGGGUGUUGGUGUGUCUUGACUGUCUGUGUGUGUGUGUGUGUGUACGUGUGUGCUGACAGUGAGUGUAGAGUGGAGGGCUCUUCUGGAUGAGUGCUGUGUGUGAGGCAGAGGCAGUGGGGUGUGCGUGGCAGAAGGUGAGGGUGUGCUAGGCAGGGCAGCUCCAGCCUGUGUUUGUCUUGUUGUGUAGUCUAUGUGGUGCGUGUUGUAGCUGUGCUAUGUUUUGCUCAGGUCUUGAUGUUGCUCUUGUUCCUUGUGCUCAAGGAGUACAGCCCACACUUUGCAGCACUAGUGCGGUAGGCAUCCAUUGUCUUUUGCUUGACCUGACUCAUCAGCUUUGUGCCAAUGGAUGGUGUCUUGUUCAGUGCAGCCAGCUAAAAGGGGUGGUCUGUCACUCUGGCUUUGCAUUGUGGCCAUUUGUGGCUGGUCAUGUCCGUGGCCCUCACUGAGGCCUCGUCGGCCACUCCUCUUCUGAGGCCACCCUCAUUUUGCGUCUUCCUGGUCUCCUUUCAGGGUUUUCUUCCCUGUGUUGUCACAUCCUUAGGUCUUUCUUGCUGGCCUCUUCCGCAUCAAUCUGCCUGGCUUUGCCAGGCCCUUUCCGUCAUGGGCAGUGGCGUUUGACUCUUUUCUGGGCUCAUCCAGAGCAUUAGAGCCACGUGGUUGUGGCCUCAUAGGGCUUUCUGUCCAGCAGUGUCUUACGU
Molecule: long non-coding RNA, 2043 nt
Organism: Apteryx owenii (little spotted kiwi)
Lineage: Eukaryota; Metazoa; Chordata; Aves; Apterygiformes; Apterygidae
Source: Ensembl